Molecule: long non-coding RNA, 6762 nt
Filed under: Capsicum annuum
Lineage: Eukaryota; Viridiplantae; Streptophyta; Magnoliopsida; Solanales; Solanaceae
Description: long non-coding RNA (CANN_LNC008216)
Source: RNAcentral
AGUGCAGUGUCCUGUCUCUGGGAUCUUGCCUUGGGAGGCAUGGAUAACUCUUGUAAUUCGGUUUCUUAAAUGACUCUUCUUAUGUUAGGAUGUUAGUGGUUUGGGACGUAUGGUGAUGUGUUGAAAUGGGGAAUGUCGAAGCGCCUGAGUGGGGAGAGUCUAGGGUGACUACUAACAGUUAAGAUUUUGGAAAGUGAGUUAAGGUUGUUGUCAUGAGAAAUGGUUAGGAAAGGGAUAGGUGGUGGAAGCUUUUGCGAAAUAUCAAAAGGUGCUAGAUCUUUUGAAGGAUAGAUUUUACCGUGGGUAUGUAAGCAGUAGGCUUGAAUGUUGUGAUUGGUAAAUAUACCAAUAAGUUGUGUUGGGCACCUGAGAGGUCUGGUAGGGCAUGGUUUUAUGAAUUAUUUUCAUGGCUUAGUAGUUGUAUGAUUUUGGGUGUUCAAUUAUAGGUUGGGGGUUUUGGUUAUGGUGGUUGGACAUGGUUUACCCAUGUCUUUUACUUAUGAUUUUCUUGUUAUAAUGGUGAUGGAAGCGGAUUAGUGUUUCGGGAGAGAUGUAAGGAGUAGAGCCCGGUGGCCUAAAUUAACUCUUUUGAGCUUUGGAUAGGCUUGAACAUGGAGGUGGUGUAUAGCUAGAUUCAGGCUCUCGUAGUGGUGUGUCUUGGUAAAUUCUAAGUUGAAUUGGACUUGCCCUUGCAUGAGUUCAUUCAGCCGGUAUUCUAUGAGUUUGCGUUGGGGUAAGGUGUGGAUGGUACUUGGUUGGUUGGUUUCUUUGGGUGGUAUUGGUAUCUCGGAUUCCUUGUUCUUUAAGGGGUCCCGAUGAGGAUUAUAGAAUGGUAAGUUCGCCGGUUGAGAACAAAAAGGUGUGGCUUUGGCAAAGGUUCUAUGGUGGAACUAAAAGUCGAAGAAAGUCAUUUGGAAUGUGGAAGGGGACAUGGAGUCCGAGUGUCCACGUUUGUUCUUGGUUCCGAAAAUUCGUGCGUAAGGUGUGUGCUCUUCAACACGUCUUUUUGUUUUCUAACUUGGUUUAAGGUGUGGAAUGGUUCCUCUUGCAUCUUCAUUUUCUUAGUUAGAGAUCGGAAUGGGGGUGUUGGGGUGUAAAUCGUGUUUGGGUUAUGUAGUGAUCUUCUCACCUUGGUUUUGUGUCCUUGCUCUCUAUUUUGGUUGAGGAAAAGUUUGUUGGGUGUUAAUAUGUUAUCUCAUGCUUGUCCCUUACCCUUACCCGUUAUUCGAGGGCAAAUGAUCUUAGUGGAGGAGACUGAAACACCCUAGGAAUAGGACCCUUGCAAAAUUUCCUUGGUUUUAGACUUACUGGACUUGGUACGACUCAAGGGUACUAAUCGUAUCCUUGAAUACGACUUGUGGGAUGACUUGAGGGAUCAAUCGUAUGUUAGGCAGUGUGCUUAGCUUGGUUAGUGCCCAAGAUACGAGUCAUCAAGGUACGAGUCGUAUCCAAAGAUACGAGUGGUGUAAGGCAAGUCGUAUGGUGCUUGAUUGAGUUGUCUUGUGGAGUCUGCCCAUGGUACGACUUGUGGGUACGAUUGAGUGUACCACUCGUACCCUUAGGUACGAGUUAGGGAGGUGUGAGUCGUAUAGAAACCAGUAGGUAGGGUCUUGGCAAGGUCUUGGGUACGAAUUGGGGUACCACUCGUACCCUAGGAUACAGAUGUAUAGGUGAGUCGUACCCCUGGAUGUGGCUUGAUUUAAUUUUAAGUCAAGGGUAGUCCGGAUAUUUCCUACUUCAAAGCCCUUAUGUUCUCACGUUAUAUAACCCUUGAUGGCCUCUCAUAACAUUUAUUAAAGGAUGGAAACACUCCAAAUACUCUCUCAAACUUACUCUUAAAGAUUGAAGGCUAGGGUUUCUUUGUGUUCUUCAAAGGGCUCAAGAGUCAUGUUUCUCUUUGGAAUCUUCUUGUAUAAGGCAUGUACUUCCCUCAUUGUUAUUUCCAACUAAAGUCAUGUGUAUUGUGUCUUAAACAUUGAUUUAUGAAUCAUAAAUCAUGAAGGGUGGUUUUCGAAAUAUAUGUUGAGGGUCUUAGUGCAUAUGGUUUGGUAUUGGUUUAAACUAUGUUUUUACAUGUUUUUAGUGCUGAUGCAUAUGUUGGUACUUGUUGGAUAUGGUUUAACAAAUGGGUCUUGCGUAACCCUAAUUAUGGUGGUUUAUGCAUUGGUUUUGGUCUUGGUAAAGAUAUGCUCUCAACAUGUUUGAUAAAAUGCCUAAAAGAAUGUUUCCACUCUAUUGUUGAACUUUUAUUGGAACUCUUGUUUGGUUUGGUUUGGUAAUGGACCCCUAAAUGGAUUUGCACGGUUUAAAUGAUAUAAAUGCUUUAAAUGUUUGGCAUGGUCAUAAAUGGUUUGGAAUGGUUUUAAAUGGCAUAAAUGGUGUACAUGGUUUAGAAGGAUUAAAUGGUAAAGCCUUGGUGGCUAUGAAAUUGGUUAUGCUUGUGGGGUACAUGGGAAUCCCCUAAGUGGUUUAAUAUGGUUAAUGGAAGGGCACAUGGAAUCCCUUAAACCUAUACAUGGUUGGCUAUGGAUAGUACUUGCAAGUAUAGUCGGUAUGACGAUACCACUACUAAUGGCCUCGGUUGAUAAAUGAUUAAUGGAUUGGUUGGUUGCUUGGUAAUGGUUUUAAUUGGACAAUAAUGGCGGGGUGUGUUGCAAAGCCGUGGAAGGUGGAGGUCCCGGGGGACCAAAAUUGGAAACUCAUAUUUGUCGAUAUGAGGUUUGGUUUUGGUGCCCGUGAGCAUGAUGUCACACUUUAUAUUUUGGGGAAUGUGCUAGUCAUCCCAGGUUUUUUUUUUGGUCGUACGGCUUCACGCAUUGGGGUCCUUUCAGCGGGGGAUCUAAACCCAUAUAGCUCGUGGGUGGUUUAGGACGACAAAGCUACACAAGUCAGGUAAAGGUUUUAAAGGAAUGCUAAGCCCGCUUCCCUUUCCUAGCAUGGUUAUAUGUAUAUGUAUGGUUGUAUGCAUUAUGGAUGGUUUUACUUGGCUUUGUAAACAACAUUAUUUUAUUCUUGUCCUGAGUGCAUGCUAGUGUUCACCCACUAACCCGUCUUUGGGCGGCUGUAUACCCACAUUAUGCAGGGACCGACUAUUCUACUUUUCUUUCUUAGUGAUCGGAUUCGGGGAUAGUCGAUGUUGGAUUGAAAUGGUGAGCUUCCAUAGUUCGGAAGGCAUUUAUUUCAUGUCAUGGGUUACUUUACAUAUUUCUUGUCUUUCAUUGACUUUGAUUUUUGGCUGUGGUCGGGGGAAUGUCUCGACUAGGUACUCUUUGGUUGGUCUACAGGCUUUGUAUGGACAACCGUGGACUUGGGUAUGGUAUGGAUUGGUGAUGUUUCAUAUAUAUAUACAUGCAUCGGAUUAUUAUAAUUGGUUUUGGUUUAUGGGUUUUGACAUUGGUUUGGUUGGUCAUUGAGUGGUUGGACUUGGUUGGGUUGGUCUCGGAUAUAGACUUAUCCCAGAGUCGCCACAUGGUUGGAUACGCUAUCUUUUUAUAUGUUCGGACUUCAGCCGACUCAAGGUAUGCGUCUGGUGGUUGGGUUAGGUAACGGGGGCGGUUUUCGGUCCUGGUUGGGCUUGGGAUUGCCCAUUACGAUAAGGCCCUAGUUCGGAUCGUGUCAAGUUGGUAUCAGAGCUUUCGGUUUCGGUGUCAUGAGGUGUUCACAAAGCCGUGUCGAGUAGAGUCUUGCUUGUGGGUGUGUCGUGCACCACACUUAUAAUCAGGAGGCUACGAGCCAUUUAGGAAUGUUUCACUUUCUUGGUUAUUCUACUUUUGGGUUAUGAAGUCUAAGGUCUUGAACUUUUCUCUGAAUCUUCCUUGGUUCACUCUUCGAAUCAUGUCUUCUUAACUAACGAUCUAUAGGUCGUGGAAACUCGCUUGUCCCACUCGAGGACAACAUGGAUGGAUCUAGUCCAACUCAUGGGGCACAGACCCGUCCAAGGGUCGCAGCUUUUGGUUUUCCCGUGGAGUCCCACCGGUUUCCAUUGACCCUAUCUCGGAAGGUGAUACUCAUACUCGGUUACCUCAAGGAGAGGUUGCUAAUGCUGAGUUUCGUCAUCCUAAUAAUCUAUUGACCCAAAUAGUGACAACUCUGUCAUGCUAGUCCAAUCCUAUUGGUACGGGGAGGAAUGAGGUAAUGUUGGUAAAUGGGCAAGGUAAGGGGGUCUCGGUCUCUUGAAUAAAAGGGAGGCCAACUUUAUGGUGGUAAAUGAUCCAAAAAAAAAGAGUUGGGUGAGUCCUAACUUCUAUUCUAUGUCUUUUGUUCCAUACCUGGAUUCAAUUGAGAGGCAGGUGUUUCUAGAUUGGUAAAUUCUUCUAGGGCACAAGGUGCCCAAUCUCGGGUCAAUGGGGCCAUUCCACAUCAUCCCAUUUUCUUUAUAAAUUUUGUGGUUGGUUGUACCAUGGUUGUUGCGAGGGAGGAAGGAGUCAGUAUUUUGGUUGUGGUCAGUUAGGUCUCGUGUGACGGGGAUGUCCCAUAAGGGUUGCCGCUUGGGCAAAUAGAGUAUUGACUGCUACCUCUGGCUCCGGCAUUGGUCGGGAUUGUCUCAAUGUUCUUACUAUUCCUCGAGAGUCCAAGGCAUCUUUUGAUGCCGACGUUGGUAUGUUGAAAACUCCUUUCCUUGUGGUGUGUAUGGUUUACUUUGUUUGGGUUUCCCUCUCUUUUGUGGCCCCAUUUGUGGUUUUGUAUUUUGGUUUUGGUGUCAAAGUUACUUCAGACUUUUUUCUUCUUCUGUUUUUACCCCGGUAGGUGAUUCUGCGAUUGCCAAAAGAGUCUAUUAGUGGUGUGUGGUAUCUGAUAGUAGUAAGAGGGGUCUUGGUGGAAUUGUUUGACUCGGAUGUGGUGGAUUCCGAUAUCAUUCGGGAAUUGAUUGGUUGCCCUCGUGGUAUGCCUCAUUAAGCUGUCGGAUCCGUAAAGGUUUUCUUUAGGCUCCCUGGUAAGUCGGUUAUGGAAUGAGAGGAUGGUUUCAUUCCCUAGCUAUUAGGGGAAAGGUUAUAUCAUAUCUUGGAACUCGGAUGUUGAUCUCCAAGUGUCUUUAUUACUUGGUCAGGGUUAAAGAUUCUAACCCGGAAGGUCUUUCCUUACAUUUGGUUUUGGUGGUGCAUGAAUUUCUUGGGGUCCUUUCCGAUGACCCUCGUGGUGUCUUUCUAAUGGGGAGGUUGGUUUGGGAUUGGUCUUGUUUCGGAUACUUGUCCAAAUUCUAUUCUUCUGUAUAGAAUGGUUCCGACUGGGUUAAAUGGGCUUGAAGGUUAAUGAAGGGAUCUUUUAGAUAUGGAUUUCAUCAGUCUUAAUUUUUCUCUGUGGAGUGUUUUCACUCUUGCAUAUAUAAGGGUGGACGGUUCCCAGAAAUUAGGUUGUCGGUGGGUGACUAAGGAAUUUGGAGUGUGACUAAGGAAUUUGGAGUGUUCUUCUUGUGGGCUUGACGAUGGUUAUGUAUAUCCUAUUAGGGUACUUUGCUAGUAGUACAUGGUGGUUGGUAGAUCCUAGGCUUGAAUUAAGAUGCUUGAUUUUGAUACAAGGGAGUAUGAUAAGCUCGGAAAUAGCAAUGCGGGAGUUGUGGAGGUAAACUGGUAGGUGGGAUAAGGUUGAUGAUUUGGGAAAUACAAUAGUGGGAGAAUUGUGCCAUAUAGGCCGGAGUUUAGGUUGAACGGAGGGACUGGGGAUCUAGUCAUUCGACAGGUUAGAUCAUGGAGCUUGCAUGUAUCCUUGUCCCUAUACUUGUACUUUAUUGUUGCCAUGAAAUUGAUUAUUAAGUUCAUGAUUUUGAAUGUGGGUUUUGGCACAAUUGAGGGCUUUGACAUGAUUACUCAUUUAAUUGAUUUUCCAUGGAUUAUGAUGCAUUAUUCAUGCUUAUUUAUGUUUAUGAACAUUGUGGGAUGCGUGGGAAUGGUAAAUGAAUUUUGGGGUACUAUGAAUUCCCCAAUUACUUGAUUUUAGUCUUGGAAAUUAUAUGCCUUCAAACUAUUUGUGAAAAUGCCUUUGACUAUAAUUUCGUCAUAUGGUUUGACUAUUCUUAAAUCUUUGCAUGGCAUAAAUGAUUCAAGGAACAUGAAUUGGUUUUGGUUGGAUUCAAAUGAUUUUGAAAGGCCUUGGUGGCCAUGGUUUGAUUUUAAAUGGUUUUGGUUUAUUGAAAACCUUUGAGUCAAUAUGGUCUCAUGGUUUUUGCAUGUCUAUGUUGGGCCCUAGGUAGCAUUGAGAUGAAGGUUCGUAGUUAAUCUAGAAUUCUCUUUUAGCGGUGGACUUCAAGGUCGGAUUGGGUUGCAUAUUCUAGUGAUACUCUUCUCCUUCGGCUAAGAGAUUACUCUACUAGUAUUGCAUGCAUUCUUGCAGCACUUAUGACUAAGGUUCACAUUUUGCAUUCGCCUUGUUCCUUGGAUAUGAGCGUUGACUUUGUGUUAAGUUACUCAUGGUAUGUGAGGUUGUGUUUCUUUCGGUGUCCUGUCUUAAGGACUCCUCUUAUGGUAUGGUUUGGUCGGGAUGUUUCUUCAUUAUGGUCUAGGUGGUGUCUAUGAAGUACUUCGUGCCUAUAGUGCCGUGUCCUGUCUCUGGGAUCUUGCCUUGGGAGGCAUGGAUAACUCUUGUAAUUCGGUGUCUUAAAUGACUCUUCUUAUGUUAAGAUGGUAGUGGUUUGGGACGUAUGCUGAUAUGUUGAAAUGGGGAAUGUAGAAGCUUGUAAGUGGUGGAGAGUUUAGGGUGACUACUAACAGUUAAGAUUUUGGAAAGUGAGUUAAGGUUGUUGUCAUGAGAAAUGGUUAGGAAAAGAAU